Ictidomys tridecemlineatus (thirteen-lined ground squirrel) is the source of this 72-nucleotide non-coding RNA. The record is from Rfam. Lineage: Eukaryota; Metazoa; Chordata; Mammalia; Rodentia; Sciuridae.
UGGGCUGUGGCUCAGUGGUAGAGCAAGUGCUUAGCACGUUCCAGGCCCUGGGUUCCAUACCCACCAGUCAAA